RNAcentral lists this ribosomal RNA (240 nucleotides) under Escherichia coli. RNAcentral's name for it is "partial 23S ribosomal RNA". It matches the Rfam family "Bacterial large subunit ribosomal RNA", at positions 998 to 1238 of the family's 2925-position model. The record is from RNAcentral. Lineage: Bacteria; Pseudomonadati; Pseudomonadota; Gammaproteobacteria; Enterobacterales; Enterobacteriaceae.
CUAACGUCCGUCGUGAAGAGGGAAACAACCCAGACCGCCAGCUAAGGUCCCAAAGUCAUGGUUAAGUGGGAAACGAUGUGGGAAGGCCCAGACAGCCAGGAUGUUGGCUUAGAAGCAGCCAUCAUUUAAAGAAAGCGUAAUAGCUCACUGGUCGAGUCGGCCUGCGCGGAAGAUGUAACGGGGCUAAACCAUGCACCGAAGCUGCGGCAGCGACACUAUGUGUUGUUGGGUAGGGGAGCG